GUUUUCCUGCAGGGGAACUCUCUUCUGUUCCUGCCCAGUGUUCUGAAGGUGUAUCUGGAGAACGGACAGACCAAGGCCUUCAAGUUUGACACUACCACCACCGUCAAAGACAUCGUUCUGACUCUGAAGGACAAGUUGUCUCUCCGCUGCAUUGAGUACUUUGCUCUGGUGCUGGAACAGCAGUACAGCAUCACCAAGCUACUGCUGCUGCACGAGGACGAGUUCAUACACAAGGCGGUGCAGAAGAAGGAGAACAGCAGCCAUGACUACAGGUGUCUGUUCCGGGUGUGUUUCAUUCCCAGAGACCCCCUGGAGCUGCUACAGGA
Molecule: non-coding RNA, 326 nt
Organism: Salvelinus sp. IW2-2015
Lineage: Eukaryota; Metazoa; Chordata; Actinopteri; Salmoniformes; Salmonidae
Source: RefSeq, a predicted model, not a curated record